UAAAACAUGUGUUGUUGGGGACAUAAUUUAAUUUUUCACAGUCCAAUAAAUAUUAUUUCAUGUUUGAACUACAAAUCCAAAAUGCCCGUUCAAGUGACGUAUAGUAUGUUGUAGGUUGUUACCAACACCAUUGUCGCGGUUACCAAUGGCCAGAUAUCAGAGACUGGAUCAGUCCUACAAGGCUUUACUGAGUCACGAUGGAGCAUUCUCCAAGUUCCUGAAGACUUAUCUCAACGAACACUAGGAGGAUCUAGAGGCAGCAGGUUGUGAGGAUGAAGAAGUUUUGAAGAAAGACAUUCUCCAUAAACUGGUGUCAAUUCAGUCAGACAAUGAUCAUUUUGAGGAGAACUCUUUGACUGACAAACUGCUACGCAGGAGAAUCCUAGUUCUAAGCGAUGGAAGAAUCCUAGAACACGACUGGCCUCAGACCUUGUUGGCUUAUAGCAACUCUGCUUUUUAUGCCUCGGCCAUGGAUGCAGGGCUUGUGUGAACAGCUUUGUGAAUGAAGGUCUGGAACGAUCUCGUGACUCCAACAGAGAUGGACUCAACUGCUUCUGGUCCCUUGUGCCAUCAAAGACCGUGCCCCAGUCCUGAGGAUUUGUUAUGAGCUGACAGGGGCAGGCGCAGACAAAUGCAUUUGAUUGUCACAGCUAGCAGACGCUUCACUGAAAUGAUAUGGGACUAAGCUUUAAUAAUUGUCGCAUUGUGAAAAGAAAGCGUGGGAGAUAUACACUUUGUUUUUAAUGUAAACAAUGUUCAAUUGAAUCAAUAAUAAAAACUCGUUCAUUUGCAA
Dreissena polymorpha is the source of this 793-nucleotide long non-coding RNA. RefSeq lists it as uncharacterized. NCBI's taxonomy places the organism in Eukaryota, Metazoa, Mollusca, Bivalvia, Myida, Dreissenidae. The transcript has 4 exons. The record is from RefSeq and is a predicted model, not a curated record.